AGUCGAGCGAGAAACUUCGGUUUCUAGCGGCGGACGGGUGAGUAACACGUGGGCAACCUGCCUUAUAGAGGGGGAUAGCCUCCCGAAAGGGAGAUUACUACCGCAUAACAUUAAGUUUUCGCAUGAGAACUUAAUCAAAGGAGUAAUCCGCUAUAAGAUGGGCCCGCGGCGCAUUAGCUAGUUGGUGAGGUAAAGGCUCACCAAGGCGACGAUGCGUAGCCGACCUGAGAGGGUGAUCGGCCACAUUGGAACUGAGACACGGUCCAGACUCCUACGGGAGGCAGCAGUGGGGAAUAUUGCGCAAUGGGGGAAACCCUGACGCAGCAACGCCGCGUGAGUGAUGAAGGCCUUCGGGUUGUAAAGCUCUGUCUUCUGGGACGAUAAUGACGGUACCAGAGGAGGAAGCCACGGCUAACUACGUGCCAGCAGCCGCGGUAAUACGUAGGUGGCAAGCGUUGUCCGGAUUUACUGGGCGUAAGGGAUGCGUAGGCGGAUAUUUAAGUGGGAUGUGAAAUACCCGGGCUCAACUUGGGUGCUGCAUUCCAAACUGGAUAUCUAGAGUGCGGGAGAGGUAAGUGGAAUUCCUAGUGUAGCGGUGAAAUGCGUAGAGAUUAGGAAGAACACCAGUGGCGAAGGCGACUUACUGGACCGUAACUGACGCUGAGGCAUGAAAGCGUG
RNAcentral lists this ribosomal RNA (678 nucleotides) under uncultured Bacillota bacterium. RNAcentral's name for it is "bacterial SSU rRNA". It matches the Rfam family "Bacterial small subunit ribosomal RNA", at positions 60 to 763 of the family's 1533-position model. The record is from RNAcentral. Lineage: Bacteria; Bacillati; Bacillota.